UUCCCAUACAACUUCAAGAUUGAGACUAGACCUUGAAUAUCCUCCCUUGCUGCCUGCUGUCUUGUAUCUUCAUCUCUCUGCUAUGAUGUACACACUUCAAGCUUCGAAGUCAAAUGUACUUUUUUUCCAUUACAGAUCUCUUUCUUCUCCUUUUCUAGCAUCAAUUUAUUAUCUAUGAAAUGUGAAGAAACUGUAUUUUGGG
This 202-nucleotide long non-coding RNA is filed under the name Olea europaea (common olive). RNAcentral's name for it is "long non-coding RNA (OEUR_LNC009414)". Lineage: Eukaryota; Viridiplantae; Streptophyta; Magnoliopsida; Lamiales; Oleaceae. The record is from RNAcentral.